This 501-nucleotide ribosomal RNA is filed under the name uncultured bacterium. RNAcentral describes it as "partial 16S ribosomal RNA". It matches the Rfam family "Bacterial small subunit ribosomal RNA", at positions 30 to 523 of the family's 1533-position model. The record is from RNAcentral.
AUUGAACGCUGGCGGCAUGCCUUACACAUGCAAGUCGAACGGCAGCACGGGUGCUUGCACCUGGUGGCGAGUGGCGAACGGGUGAGUAAUACAUCGGAACGUACCUUAUCGUGGGGGAUAACGCAGCGAAAGUUGCGCUAAUACCGCAUACGCCCUGAGGGGGAAAGCGGGGGACCGUAAGGCCUCGCGCGAGUAGAGCGGCCGAUGUCUGAUUAGCUUGUUGGUGAGGUAAAAGCUCACCAAGGCGAUGAUCAGUAGCUGGUCUGAGAGGACGAUCGGCCACGCUGGGACUGAGACACGGCCCAGACUCCUACGGGAGGCAGCAGUGGGGAAUUUUGGACAAUGGGGGCAACCCUGAUCCAGCAAUGCCGCGUGAGUGAAGAAGGCCUUCGGGUUGUAAAGCUCUUUUGUCAGGGAAGAAACAGCAGCUCUAACACAGUCUGCGAAUGACGGUACCUGAAGAAUAAGCACCGGCUAACUACGUGCCAGCCGCCGCGGUAA